This 253-nucleotide ribosomal RNA is filed under the name uncultured bacterium. Its description in RNAcentral is "partial 16S ribosomal RNA". It matches the Rfam family "Bacterial small subunit ribosomal RNA", at positions 524 to 776 of the family's 1533-position model. The record is from RNAcentral.
UACGUAGGCAGCAAGCGUUGUUCGGAGUUACUGGGCGUAAAGCGCGUGUAGGCGGCUUUGCAAGUCGGAUGUGAAAGCCCUCGGCUCAACCGGGGAAGUGCACCCGAAACUGCAAAGCUAGAGUCUCGGAGAGGAUCGUGGAAUUCUCGGUGUAGAGGUGAAAUUCGUAGAUAUCAAGCAGAACACCUGCGGCGAAGGCGGCCUUCUGGACGAUGACUGACGCUGAGACACGAAAGCGUGGGGAGCAAACAGG